GUUUAUCCAGAAAAGCCAUACGCUCACCAAGAGGAAAAACGCUUGUGCAAAGGAAAAUAAGAGCGAGCAUCGCGGUUUUUCUACUUUCGGCCUCGCAUUCAGGGUUCUUUCGCUUAUGGAUUCGCAUCAGCAUCGUUAUCAUAUUCUUCCGAUUUCAACCGUCGGCUUCGCAUUUUGGAGCUUAAUCAAUCGUCAUCGCAUCGCGGGAAUUUGUCAAUAAUCAAUGUGGAUUCGCUUUCAUUCCUCUAUCGCAAUUCGACGAUUCAAUUCUUCUUUCACGAAAUCAAUCAACGACAGUUAUCAUAAUCUACGGCGCUGAAUCGCAACGGUAUCGCCGAAUCUAUCUUUGAACGCAACGAAGCUGGAAUAUAGAGAGCUUACCGAUUUCGAUGCGGCUUGCGAGAAUAUGUAUGAAUUCAAUGUGUUUCCUCUUCCAUUCGUGCUACUAGAAUGUGUGAACUACUUUCUACUUUUGAGGAUUCGGUUGUGCAUGAUUCUGAGCUUUGAAUGGAUUGUUGUGUCGAAUUCUGGCAGGACUCUUGAGCAAUGAAGACUAGAGAGUCGGCAUUGGUCACAGGGAGAAUUUGCAGGGAUUGGAAUUGAAGAAAGUAGAAGGUGAUAUGGUGAACUUUUGUGCAUAUGUAUAAACUGAGAGAAAGAAUAGAGAAUCGUUAAGAAAAAAUCUGAAGGGUGAAGUGUGAAGAUUUAUAUAGUGAGGUUGGAGUGUUGUUUGCUACUUGGUGAUCAACAAAAAAAAGUCCAUUCACAGUUGAUGUCAGAGAUGGUACCAAAGGCUUAAAGUUCUGACAAGAAUCUCUUAUCCUUAAACAAUAUGAUUGAUAUAUAGCUUGUCCAUGGAUGUGCGAUAUUUCCUUCUUGGUUUCACCUUCCCUAGCUAUAGCAUCAGCCAUAGCAGCUGCAUCCUUAGACAACACAGAUUCAAGUGGAAAAGAAUGGCAUUCACCUCUGAAAGAUUUUCCAUGAGAGAAAGGUGGAUUGAAGUUGCCUUUUUGCCCAAAUUGUAAACAUCAUAUACAUCUUCAGUUAUUGCUAAAACCUCUUCAAGCAUAGAACCACACUCAGAAGUUAAAGCAGUAUGCAUCCUUGAAACCUGAGAAAAAGCAGACAAAGCAACACUUGCCUCAUACGCACAAUCCCUCAUUGAAAUAACUGUGCUUUGUAAGUCACCAGAAGCUGAUUUUUCUUAAAGGGGGUCCAUGAGAGGUUCCUCGUGCAGGAGAUGUAUGUCCAAGAUGUCCUGGCGAACCAACUGAAAUCUGACUAUAUGAACUUGGUGGAGUAAAUUAAGAUGUUGACAAUUUGUUGUAACAUGAUUGAGUAGACUAGGUAGACAUGUAUUGGAAUUAAAUAUAUGAAAUGGUUAAUGGAUGCAUGUGAAUUGGUUUGUGAAGUGAAAUGUAAUAGAAAAUGGUUAUUGAUGCAAGUUGUAUUGAAUGGAAUUUGGGAUUGUUUUGGAUUGGAAUUGUAUUUAGAAUGUAGGAUAUUUUUGGAAUUGUAUUUAGAAUGUAGGAUAUUUUUGUAAUGUAAAGCUUAUGUAAUGAAUUUGAAAUGGUAUAUGUGAUUGAAUGUAAAUUGGAA
This is a long non-coding RNA of Lathyrus oleraceus (garden pea), 1599 nucleotides long. RefSeq lists it as uncharacterized. The transcript has 2 exons. Lineage: Eukaryota; Viridiplantae; Streptophyta; Magnoliopsida; Fabales; Fabaceae. The record is from RefSeq and is a predicted model, not a curated record.